Molecule: unclassified non-coding RNA, 339 nt
Filed under: Hevea brasiliensis (rubber tree)
Lineage: Eukaryota; Viridiplantae; Streptophyta; Magnoliopsida; Malpighiales; Euphorbiaceae
Source: RNAcentral
GAUUAAAGCAAAUGCAGCAUGCGGAUCUUUUUCCAGCUUGAUCAUUUGUGAGGCAUUGGUGAUUUGAUUCAUAAUAUUUUCUUUCAUGGCCUCUUUGCCAUCCUGUGCUAAGGAAUCUGAGUUUACUGAUAUGCAGAUCCGCUUCAUUCCCUGUCGUAGUAAACUGCAUGCAUAUCCUAUGUUGAUGGCAGUUUCCAUCUUAUCUCCUGUCAGAACCCAGAUCUUAAGACCAGCUUGUGCAAGUUUGUCUAUGCAUUGGGGCACCCCAUUCUGUAACUUGUCCUCCACAGCAGUAGCACCAACCAGGAUUAAUUCUCGCUCCAUGAGGUCGGAUACUCG